Molecule: long non-coding RNA, 353 nt
Filed under: Monodelphis domestica (gray short-tailed opossum)
Lineage: Eukaryota; Metazoa; Chordata; Mammalia; Didelphimorphia; Didelphidae
Description: lncRNA (ENSMODG00000036391.1)
Source: RNAcentral
UUCUUUCCUUGCUUUCGGGCUCUCAUCCAUGCACUACUCUCUGUCCUCACUUUCCGUCUUUCUCUCAUUCUCUCAUUCUUCUCUUUCUCUCUUUUUUUUCUUUCUUUCUUUUUUCUCUUUCUCUUUUUCUCUCUUUCUCUCUUUCUUUCUUUCUUUCUUUCUUUCUUUCUUUCUUUCUUUCUUUCUUUCUUUCUUUCUUUCUUUCUUUCUUUCUUUCUUUCUUUCUUUCUUUCUUUCUUUCUUUCUUUCUUUCUUUCUUUCUUUCUUUCUUUCAUCAAGAUGCUAUUUUCUUUAUCCCGCUGAAAUCUUUCAUGCUUUCUUUAAUAAAACUGUCCAAAUAUUUCUGAAUAGCU